This 468-nucleotide ribosomal RNA is filed under the name uncultured bacterium. Its description in RNAcentral is "partial 16S ribosomal RNA". It matches the Rfam family "Bacterial small subunit ribosomal RNA", at positions 28 to 507 of the family's 1533-position model. The record is from RNAcentral.
GACGAACGCUGGCGGCGUGCUUAACACAUGCAAGUCGAACGGAAAGGCCCUGCUUUUGUGGGGUGCUCGAGUGGCGAACGGGUGAGUAACACGUGAGUAACCUGCCCUUCACUUUGGGAUAACUUCAGGAAACUGGGGCUAAUACCGGAUAGGAGCUCCUGCUGCAUGGUGGGGGUUGGAAAGUUUCGGCGGUUGGGGAUGGGCUCGCGGCUUAUCAGCUUGUUGGUGGGGUAGUGGCUUACCAAGGCUUUGACGGGUAGCCGGCCUGAGAGGGUGACCGGCCACAUUGGGACUGAGAUACGGCCCAGACUCCUACGGGAGGCAGCAGUGGGGAAUAUUGCACAAUGGGCGGAAGCCUGAUGCAGCAACGCCGCGUGCGGGAUGACGGCCUUCGGGUUGUAAACCGCUUUCGCCUGUGACGAAGCGUGAGUGACGGUACUGGGUAAAGAAGCACCGGCUAACUACGUG